AGCGAACGCUGGCGGCAGGCCUAACACAUGCAAGUCGAACGGACCCUUCGGGGUUAGUGGCGGACGGGUGAGUAACACGUGGGAACGUGCCUUUAGGUUCGGAAUAGCUCCUGGAAACGGGUGGUAAUGCCGAAUGUGCCCUUGGGGGGAAAGAUUUAUCGCCUUUAGAGCGGCCCGCGUCUGAUUAGCUAGUUGGUGAGGUAAUGGCUCACCAAGGCGACGAUCAGUAGCUGGUCUGAGAGGAUGACCAGCCACAUUGGGACUGAGACACGGCCCAAACUCCUACGGGAGGCAGCAGUGGGGAAUCUUGCGCAAUGGGCGAAAGCCCGACGCAGCCAUGCCGCGUGGAUGAUGAAGGUCUUAGGAUUGUAAAAUCCUUUCACCGGUGAAGAUAAUGACUGUAGCCGGAGAAGAAGCCCCGGCUAACUUCGUGCCAGCCGCCGCAGUAA
Molecule: ribosomal RNA, 449 nt
Filed under: uncultured bacterium
Lineage: Bacteria
Description: partial 16S ribosomal RNA
Rfam family: Bacterial small subunit ribosomal RNA
Source: RNAcentral